RNAcentral lists this microRNA precursor (80 nucleotides) under Myotis lucifugus (little brown bat). RNAcentral's name for it is "miRNA (ENSMLUG00000022194.1)". The record is from RNAcentral. Lineage: Eukaryota; Metazoa; Chordata; Mammalia; Chiroptera; Vespertilionidae.
AUGAUGCAUGUAUGUGUGUGUGUAUGUGCGUGUAUGUGCACCUGUGUAUGCACACAAACACACACAUACACAUACCUGCA